GACGAACGCUGGCGGUGUGCCUCACACAUGCAAGUCGAACGGAAUAGCAAUAUUCAGUGGCGGACGGGUGAGUAACACGUGGGAAUCUGCCUCAAAGUGGGGGAUAACUGACCGAAAGGUUAGCUAAUACCGCAUACGUCGCAAGAUAAAAGGAGCAAUCCGCUAUGAGAUGAGCCCGCGUCCGAUUAGCUAGUUGGUAAGGUAAAGGCUUACCAAGGCUACGAUCGGUAGCNGGUCUGAGAGGAUGAUCAGCCACAAUGGAACUGAGACACGGUCCAUACUCCUACGGGAGGCAGCAGUGGGGAAUUUUACACAAUGGGCGAAAGCCUGAUGUAGCGACACCGCGUGAGCGAAGAAGCCUUUUGGGGUGUAAAGCUCUGUCAGCAGGGACGAAACAAAUGACGGUACCUGCAGAGAAGCAUCGGCUAACUACGUGCCAGCCGCCGCAGU
Molecule: ribosomal RNA, 450 nt
Filed under: uncultured bacterium
Lineage: Bacteria
Description: bacterial SSU rRNA
Rfam family: Bacterial small subunit ribosomal RNA
Source: RNAcentral